This is a long non-coding RNA of Pogonomyrmex barbatus (red harvester ant), 783 nucleotides long. The record is from RefSeq and is a predicted model, not a curated record. NCBI's taxonomy places the organism in Eukaryota, Metazoa, Arthropoda, Insecta, Hymenoptera, Formicidae.
CAAAGCUAAAAAAUUUUUUAUUAUUUAUUUGACAUAAGUGAUACGUUCAUGUUAAGGGGGAAUCUCAUUUUUCGAGUAAAAAAAAUCGAUUUUUUUUACGGAAUCUUUUAGUUUAAUAUCUUAAGAAUAUCUCCAAAAUUUGUAUCGAAAUUCGUAGAACUUCAGAAGUUAUGAGCUCUUAACCGACCGAGUACCUGGCUAAGCGCAUAAGAUUUUUAAUAAUCGAUAGCUGUUCCAGUUUUGUUCUCAGCACAAGAAUCAAGUUAGGGGACAUUUGUGUUAUUUAACAGUGAAAUUUUCAGUAAUCAUUUAGCCUGUGUGAAACUAACGCACGAAAAUAAAGAACAAUGAAUCGCAAACAUUCACAAAACAUGUCUGAACGUGCUAACAGACCAAAAAAAAAAGAAAAAUCACGGAUAAUAUUCACAUUCGGGAAAUGAAUACUUCACUUGCAAGUACAUCAGCAGAAAAAUUAUCAGUAUUCAAGACAAAGAAACGUCAAAAUAUUUUGCAACGCGCGAGAUCAUCGCUUUGAAAAAUCAACGCGACGGAGCCUUCUACGAAAAAGAUUCGAAUAAAACGAAGAACAGAUGGCUUAAAAUCAAUUUUAUGAAAAUAAGGAUAGAUUAUUAUAUGCCCCUGGGAUAGCAGAGUAACAGAUAUAUGAUAUGAAUACCUGGAAAAAUAUCGUGUACACCAAUGGACGACGAAGGCGUUUGCGUGACGUGAUAUUCGAUUAUUAAUAUCUUUUACAUUUAUUAUUAAAAUUUAAUAUAAAAAAAU